UUGAUUCUUGCCUUUGAAAGCUCAGUCAGAGCAUAGUUUGUGAAGAGAAUAUUAGGGAAUGAAACUGAGUUCGUAGUCUCAGUUUCAAACGUCAGAGUGGACAGUAACGUAAUACAGUGAUAGUGAGUAGGUGGCAUCCGAACCUGGCGGGCAGUGGAGAGAGUGAGCUGGGCAGUUUUCGUAAGCACAUCCUCAUCACCCCACAGGGGGACGCCUCCACUGGUUUGGGAGAUGUAUGAAGACCAUUAGAAUCGGGUAACUCCGUGAAUCCCGAGCGUCAGGAAUCCACUACCACCCAUGGGCCCCAUAGCUGGCCAGCCUUCACCUGAUGCAUUCACUGCCCACGUGGUGACCAAGGAAUAUCAGGCCCCCCAAACAACAGCCAGCCCCCAUCAUUGGUGGAUGAGUCCAUGACUCAGUAGGGCUAAUUGGUGGUUGUGUUAUUCCACUGGAAUUAUCUGAGUUUGUUGGAUGGUGCCACGUGGUGAGGAAACUACCAUGGCUGCCGCUUGAGUAUUACUUCUGGUGCUGUUGAGUGUUAUGUCUGAUGCUGCUUAAGCAGUCAAGUGUCGUAACUGGCGUCAUUGCCACGGGUUUUAAUGGUGCUAAGGUGCUGAGAGAGAGUUUAGGUGUGUUAUUGUGUAUGUACAGUACACCCAGUCGUGGUGUAAGUAGAAAUUGGGCCUAAGGGCCUCAGUACAAAGUGAGUUCCUAUUUGCUCAUGAAACCUAACGUCAUUUAAUAACCAUUUUGUGUUUUUAAUAAACCAUUUUAUUUGUA
Long non-coding RNA from Homarus americanus (American lobster), 780 nucleotides. RefSeq lists it as uncharacterized. NCBI's taxonomy places the organism in Eukaryota, Metazoa, Arthropoda, Malacostraca, Decapoda, Nephropidae. The transcript is spliced from 2 exons. The record is from RefSeq and is a predicted model, not a curated record.